This 458-nucleotide ribosomal RNA is filed under the name uncultured crenarchaeote. RNAcentral's name for it is "bacterial SSU rRNA". It matches the Rfam family "Archaeal small subunit ribosomal RNA", at positions 407 to 864 of the family's 1478-position model. RNAcentral also lists the same sequence under 1 other name. Lineage: Archaea; Thermoproteati; Thermoproteota. The record is from RNAcentral.
CUUUUGCUAGUUCUAAAAAUACUAGUGAAUAAGGGGUGGGCAAGUUCUGGUGUCAGCCGCCGCGGUAAAACCAGCACCUCAAGUGGUCAGGAGGAUUAUUGGGCCUAAAGCAUCCGUAGCCGGCUCUUCAAGUUUUCGGUUAAAUCUAUACGCUUAACGUAUAGGCUGCCAAAAAUACUGUAGAGCUAGGGAGUGGGAGAGGUAGACGGUACUCGGUAGGAAGGGGUAAAAUCUUUUGAUCUAUUGAUGACCACCUGUGGCGAAGGCGGUCUACCAGAACAUGUUCGACGGUGAGGGAUGAAAGCUGGGGGAGCAAACCGGAUUAGAUACCCGGGUAGUCCCAGCUGUAAACGAUGCAGACUCGAUGAUGUAUUAGCAUAUAGCUGAUACAGUGUCGCAGGGAAGCCGUUAAGUCUGCCGCCUGGGAAGUACGUACGCAAGUAUGAAACUUAAAGGAA